AAUCAACGCUGGCGGCGUGCCUCAGACAUGCAAGUCGAACGAUUAAAGCUCUCUUCGGAGAGUGCAUAGAGUGGCGCACGGGUGAGUAACACGUAAGUAAUCUACCUUCGAGUGGGGAAUAACGUCCGGAACGGACGCUAAUACCGCAUAAUGCAGCGGCAUCGCAAGAUGACAGUUGUUAAAGGAGCAAUUCGCUUGAAGAGGAGCUUGCGGCAGAUUAGCUAGUUGGUAAGGUAAUGGCUUACCAAGGCUACGAUCUGUAACCGGUCUAAGAGGACGGUCGGUCACACUGACACUGAAUAACGGGUCAGACUCCUAC
This 319-nucleotide ribosomal RNA is filed under the name uncultured bacterium. RNAcentral describes it as "bacterial SSU rRNA". It matches the Rfam family "Bacterial small subunit ribosomal RNA", at positions 32 to 342 of the family's 1533-position model. The record is from RNAcentral.